GAGGGUAUCGCUCAGUGGUAGAGCACAUGCUUAGCAUGCACAAGGACCUGGGUUCAGUCCCUGGUACCUCCU
Molecule: transfer RNA, 72 nt
Filed under: Camelus bactrianus (Bactrian camel)
Lineage: Eukaryota; Metazoa; Chordata; Mammalia; Artiodactyla; Camelidae
Also listed under: 2 other names
Rfam family: tRNA
About the family: Transfer RNA (tRNA) molecules are approximately 80 nucleotides in length. Their secondary structure includes four short double-helical elements and three loops (D, anti-codon, and T loops). Further hydrogen bonds mediate the characteristic L-shaped molecular structure. tRNAs have two regions of fundamental functional importance: the anti-codon, which is responsible for specific mRNA codon recognition, and the 3' end, to which the tRNAs corresponding amino acid is attached (by aminoacyl-tRNA synthetases). tRNAs cope with the degeneracy of the genetic code in two manners: having more than one tRNA (with a specific anti-codon) for a particular amino acid; and 'wobble' base-pairing, i.e. permitting non-standard base-pairing at the 3rd anti-codon position.
Source: Rfam by way of RNAcentral